AGGCGCUCGGAGCCGCCGCGGCCCCGGGAGGGAAGGCUCGCCAGGCCCCGGGCGGCCGCCGCACCGAUGAUCCCGGGUCCGGCGCCCCGAGCGGCCGCCUGGGCUUCGGCCGCGGGCGUGGCGGCGGCGGCGGGAGGGGCUUGGGAGGCUGUGCCGAAAGGCACUUGACUGUGAGCCCCGGCGGAACAGGGCUCCUCAGCGGCCGGCGGCCAGGCUGCCGACCUCGCCGGGCCGCAGCGGAUCGCAGCCGGUCACAGACAAACGCCGGAGCCCGGGGCUGGAGGUCAGAUCUACGGCCGGUUACCCUGUGCAAGUCAUUCCGCUUCUCUGAGGCUCCAUCCCCUCAUCUGUGAAACGGGGGUGGUGUGCCCAGCCUUGCAGGGUUGGAGGAUGACAGCAGAGUGACCAGAGAUCCCCAGUGUCACUGUCCGCUGUGCCGACGGGGAGGCCGGUGGGCCCAGUCUUGAGAAGAGCUCCGCGCCCCAGUGCCUUCUAGAGAAUGAGGGCUGCUUUUCUUUGAUUUGCGGUGCGAACAACAGCCUUUCUGAGGCCACUGGCAGGGGUCAAGGGCAAGGGAUGUGCUGCCAUGUGGCUUUGAGCCUCCCUGGAUUAUCUUGCGUUUGGAUAAUCUCCAGGGUACUUGGAGGAGGAGAAUUAGGGUUUACUCUUGCCGGGAGGAACUGGGUGAGCUGGGAGCCAUGCAUCCUUCUUGCCAUGCUUUGCAAGGGGUGGACAGCCAGAACACACUCGAGCCCGUGUAUCCCCAGGCUGCCAGCUCCUGGGCCUGGUGGAGAAGAGGCAUGAGCAUUUCUGGUCUCUCCAUGGCAAGAAUCCUCACAUUCAGAGCAAGAUCCUGGUGACCCAGGGCGCCAGGACCUGUCUGUGCACUGAGGCCUGGGACCACACAGGCUGAGCGCCAGACCCCAGCACAGCCCCGAGUGCCCUGAGGGCCAUGCCUCCAGGAGCAGGUGCCUGGCCACGGGCACAGACCUCCCCUUUCUGGGGCCUCCCAGAACAGGCAGCUGUCCUCUCCUUCAUACACUCUGCCUGACCCUAGAAGGAAACAGAGGGACACUGACAAAUGGCCUGGGUUUUUUUCCCCCUUUCUCGUUGCACAAGUAAGCACAGCUUUAAACUCAAACUUUAAAGCCAAGAGUGGCUCUGGGAGGCCCUGGGGGAGAGACAAGAGCUUCCAGACCAUGUUGGGAAAGCGCAAGGGGCCAGCCAGGCUCAGUGUCCGUGCUGUCCUCUCCUGCCCUGCCCUCCCCUGUCCCCUACCUAUCUGAGCCGAGGGUCCCAUUCUCCUGGACAAUGCCUCGGGUGCCUGGCUCGCCCAUGUGCUCAAACUAGCGCCCCCCCUCCCCCCCACUGCCCCAAGCACCUGCACCUUUCCUGACAGGCAUCUGAUCUUUUCCCUUUCCUGUGUAUUCUUAGUGGCCCCAGGGGGAAAGGCAGCCUGGCCUUGCAUGGCUGGGACACCCCCCCCCAGUAACAUGGCCCCAGAGCCCACAUGGUUCCUUCCUCCAGGGCUGGCUCAGUGAGGGUCUGCUGGUGGGGUCUCUGCCCUUCAUGAACCAGAGUCAGGGCAUCUUCUUUUGUGGCCAAGGAGCAGCCUGCUCAGGAAGAAAGCUACAAGUGUUCCCAUUCUGCAGGUUUGAAAGACAAGGCUGAGGGUUGAUCACAAAGUCCCAGGCUGUUACUGCAUCAAGACGCCUGCAUCUCUAGCCUGUUACUUCUCUUGAGCCACGAGCCACGGAAUGCGAGCCACGGAAUGCCGGGGGAGCAUGGUGGUGGGCUUGGUGGAGAUGUCUAGGGCAGCCCUGGAAACGUGGAACUGACGGGCCUCUUUGGGCGGAGGGUGGAUAAAGAGGGUAUUUCUCUCUUAGAUCCCUUCAGUCAGAGUCAGCGUGCAGGACAAAGCCCACCGCCUUCCUUAAGCAGGUUUUGAACUAUUCCAUCUUCCUAGCGGCCUCUGCUCACUCUAUGCGCCGGAUUUUCCAUUUCGCAGGGCUCGCUACCCUCUGGGAGCUGGAGCUGGCUCUGGAGCCUGCGGACAGGAAGGACGGUGUGGGGAGAGAACAGGCUUUCUGGGCCGGGCUCACUGACAGCUCACCCCACUUGCCUGCCACGGGCCACAUGCCUGCCAUUCCCCCUGGCGCUCUCAUCCUCUCAAUAUAGGGUGCUUCUGGCACACUGGGCGGGGGCCGCCAGCCCCAGGGCCAGACACCCUGCUGCUGGAGGGCGAGGCCAGUGGGGACAGGCUAGGGCAGGCGUCAGCUUGCUCCCUCUCCUUGCAUGGCCACGGCCUGCAGCCUGUCUUCUGAUUUGUGUGUAUUAUUAGGUCCCAGGGACUCCGGCGGCUGUGGGGGAACCACAGAGGGUAGGGCGCCACCCAGCCUGCCGAAGGAAUUUAUCCCCGAACCUGAGCUCUUCUGGGGGUCCUCCAGCCUGGCUGGGAAAGCAGGCCCCCCGCCUCUUCCAGGAGGGUUGAAGAAGUGCCUUGGGCCUCUUCAGCUUAAUGAGCUGCAGAGGAUGAGUGGCCCAUAAAGAAGGACGGCAAGCAGCUGACGUGUCCAAGGGGCUCCAGCUUAAGAACAUUAGAGAGGUAGAUUUUAUCAGCUCCACGAACGGAGGAGUGAAGAGCAGUCACAGAACAAACUAGCAGCUCCCAGUCCCUCCUCUGUUUUGUCUUCUUCAGAAGUUGACACGAUUCCGUUCACCUCAUUCUCAGAAGGCUCACCGAACCUCACGGCCACCGCUCUGAAGCUUGGUUGGAAUACACACGGGCAGUUGGUCACGGGGGGCGAAUUCCCGAGAAGCCAUAGGAGAAGCCACGUCUGAGGAGCUGGGGGGGAUGUGGAGAUGGGGACCCUGGGCCCGGACCCCUUGGCCCCCGAGGAUGCACGGGUGUGGGGCUACUCUCCCCAGACAGCCAGGUCCCCCACAGCAGGACCCCAUCGGGCCACUCUCACCGGGCGCUCUGCUCUGACAGCCUCGGGGUGCCCCCACCUCCGCCUGGGCUGUGCUCCCGGCCGGAUGGCCUGGGAUUCUCCUGACUUCACUCUGAGACAGUCCCUCCGUGACACAGUGCUCCCACUGCGGGCCUCGUCUUCCACAUCUGCAACACAAGGGGCAGAAUCGUCACCUCCAGGGUCCCUCGCUGCCCAGAAGCUCUGCACUCCUGCCUACGAUCGCUGUCAUAGCUCGGGGACACACCAGGCUCCUGAGACGCGCCUCCCUGCAGAAGCUCUGUGCCCUCCCCGGCCUGCAGUGCCCCCGCCCCGCAGCGAGUUCGUGCAGGGCUGGCCCCUGACUGUGGAGGGACUCCGGUGUCAGGCCAGCCUGUGCCCUGUGGGCGGGGGGAAGCCAGCUGCGGAAAAACUCCCCUCACAUAGGGUCGGGGGCAGUAAAUAAAGGGCAGGUUCGAGUCCUCAGCUGGAGCUAUGGCCAGGAACUGGGGUGGAGGGAAGACAGGGGGCAGUGGCAGGAGUUCUGCAGGCACUGCUUUUCAAGGUGAGCUUAGACUUGGGAGAACUCUCCAUUUCUCCACAUCUUUAGUAAAGUCGGCCAUACACAAAGAGCUGGGUCCGUUUGCUUCUGUGUUGAGGAAUUGUUUAGGUGGCUGUCAAAGCAGGUCUGCGACCAGCCUCGGUGGGCCUGGUGCAGGCCAGACGGGCCUGAGCGGAGAGGAAAGGCAGUGAGCGUUCGAGAAUGCAGGCCUCGCACAGAUUCGGCGUGACGACAAUAACGUCAGAAGGAGAGCUUAAUACUCGUGCUGCACUUCGAGACGUUUCCUGAGCAAGUGUGAUGUGCGUGUUUGGUGCCUUCAGGAUAUAUUAUUUCAAAGCUCAA
This is a long non-coding RNA of Mirounga angustirostris (Northern elephant seal), 3852 nucleotides long. RefSeq lists it as uncharacterized. Lineage: Eukaryota; Metazoa; Chordata; Mammalia; Carnivora; Phocidae. The transcript has 3 exons. The record is from RefSeq and is a predicted model, not a curated record.